RNAcentral lists this ribosomal RNA (757 nucleotides) under Chaetothyriales sp. RNAcentral describes it as "bacterial SSU rRNA". It matches the Rfam family "Eukaryotic small subunit ribosomal RNA", at positions 63 to 702 of the family's 1831-position model. Lineage: Eukaryota; Fungi; Ascomycota; Eurotiomycetes; Chaetothyriales. The record is from RNAcentral.
GUGACAUUAUCCAAGUGUGGGAACCGCCACAGCGAUCGUUGGGUGAUAUCCGCAGCCAGGACUGCUUCUGUUUUGGUGCAACGACUAAGUCGUAAUGGCCGGCCCUGCCGGUAAAGAGAUAGUCUCAAUCUCGUGGGGAGACCCAUGACAGCUUUUGCAUUAAAUCAGUUAUCGUUUAUUUGAUAAUACCUUACCACUUGGAUAACUGUGGUAAUUCUAGAGCUAAUACAUGCUAAAAACCCCGACUUCGGAAGGGGUGUAUUUAUUAGAUAAAAAACCAAUGCCCUUCGGGGCUCCUUGGUGAUUCAUAAUAACUUAACGAAUCGCAUGGCCUUGCGCCGGCGAUGGUUCAUUCAAAUUUCUGCCCUAUCAACUUUCGAUGGUAGGAUAGUGGCCUACCAUGGUCUUAACGGGUAACGGGGAAUUAGGGUUCGAUUCCGGAGAGGGAGCCUGAGAAACGGCUACCACAUCCAAGGAAGGCAGCAGGCGCGCAAAUUACCCAAUCCCAAUCCGGGGAGGUAGUGACAAUAAAUACUGAUACAGGGCUCUUUCGGGUCUUGUAAUUGGAAUGAGAAAAAUCUAAAUCCCUUAACGAGGAACAAUUGGAGGGCAAGUCUGGUGCCAGCAGCCGCGGUAAUUCCAGCUCCAAUAGCGUAUAUUAAAGUUGUUGCAGUUAAAAAGCUCGUAGUUGAACCUUGGGUCUGGCUGAUCUGUCCUCCUAAUCGAGCGCACGGAUUCGGUCGGACCUUUCCUUCUG